GCCCCAGCCCGGCGGCGGCACCGGUUCGGGCGGCUGCUUGAAGCGCCGGGGCGUCCCGGGCAUGAGUGGGGUUUGGGGGGUCGGGGGGCCUCGGUGCCAGGCGGCGCUCGCGCUCCUGGCCUCGCUGUGCCGGGCCCGGCCGCCCCCUCUCGGGCUGGACGUGGAGACUUGUCGGAGCUUCGAGCUACAGCCCCCAGAGAGGAGUCCGAGCGCGGCCGACUCAGGCACCUCUGUCAGCCUCCUCGCAGUGGUAGUGAUUGUGUGUGGCGUGGCCCUGGUGGCAGUUUUUCUCUUUCUCUUUUGGAAGCUGUGCUGGACGCGCUGGAGGGGCAAGGAAGCCUCCAGUCCCACUUCUGCUAACCCUCCCCCGGAGGCCCUCCGGGGCCCCAGCUCCAGAGGCAACAUGGCAGACAAGCUGAAGGACAGCAGCACCCUGGGCUUCCUGGAGGCGGCUGUGAAGAUCAGCCACACGUCCCCGGAUAUCCCAGCCGAGGUGCAGAUGUCAGUCAAGGAGCACAUCAUGCGUCAUGCACGGCUGCAGCGACAGACCACGGAGCCAGCGUCAUCUACCAGGCACACGUCCUUCAAGCGCCACCUGCCACGGCAGAUGCACGUCUCCAGUGUGGACUACGGCAAUGAGCUGCCGCUGGCGGCAGAGCAGCCCACCAGCAUUGGCCGAAUCAAGCCUGAACUCUACAAGCAGAAGUCGGUGGACGGGGACGAUGCCAAGUCCGAGGCCGCCAAGAGCUGUGGGAAAAUCAACUUCAGCCUGCGCUACGACUACGAGAGCGAGACCUUGAUCGUGCGCAUCCUGAAGGCCUUCGACCUCCCUGCCAAGGACUUCUGUGGCAGCUCUGACCCCUACGUCAAGAUCUACCUCCUGCCUGAUCGCAAGUGCAAGCUGCAGACCCGGGUGCACCGCAAGACCCUGAACCCCACCUUUGAUGAGAACUUCCACUUCCCCGUGCCCUACGAGGAGCUGGCCGACCGCAAGCUACAUCUCAGUGUCUUCGACUUCGAUCGCUUCUCCCGCCAUGACAUGAUCGGAGAGGUCAUCCUAGACAACCUCUUUGAGGUCUCCGACCUGUCCCGGGAAACCUCCAUCUGGAAGGACAUCCAGUACGCCACAAGUGAAAGCGUGGAUCUGGGAGAGAUCAUGUUCUCCCUGUGCUACCUGCCCACAGCAGGCCGGCUCACCCUCACAGUGAUCAAAUGUCGGAACCUCAAGGCGAUGGACAUCACAGGCUACUCAGAUCCAUAUGUCAAAGUAUCCCUGCUUUGUGAUGGGCGGAGACUGAAGAAGAAGAAAACGACCAUAAAGAAAAACACUCUAAAUCCUGUCUACAAUGAAGCCAUCAUCUUUGAUAUCCCCCCAGAGAACAUGGAUCAAGUCAGUCUGCUCAUCUCGGUUAUGGAUUAUGAUCGAGUGGGCCACAAUGAGAUCAUAGGAGUCUGCCGUGUGGGGAUCAAUGCUGAGGGCCUGGGCCGGGACCACUGGAACGAGAUGCUGGCGUACCCGCGGAAGCCCAUCGCACACUGGCACUCCUUGGUGGAGGUAAAGAAAUCCUUCAAAGAGGGAAACCCUCGGUUGUGAUUUCAUUCACGUGGACGCUGCAAGCAGAGAGACUGUCACCUGGAGUUAGGAUGGCAGGGCCGGGCUGCCAGCUUUGACAGCGAGAGCUCGUGCCCGUCUCCGAAACCACCUCCCACACCAUGAGCUGUGCAACCGGGCGACACCAACGGGACUCAGCGACGCUCUUUUUUGCACUCGUUCAGCUGUCCAAACACAGUGUUGCGCAGGGGCAGCAGCAGCCGUAGCACGAGUCUUAACUGCUCCUGCGUGGGUCAAGGUCACGACCCUUGUCGUGUGGCCAGACCUGUCUUAGUCUUUCUUGUCUCCCAAGGUGAUGUUUUCUGUGGUUUUUCACUUCUUAUGGAUCUGCUGCCAAGAAGAGAAGGGGGGAAGAGUAGGAGAAAAAGAAGAGUAGAGAGCCCAGAAGCUGGUUCAUAUAAAAUACAACGUAAAAUAGUCUUCCCUUCUGGGGAGGUGGUGUGAUUUCCUUCAGUGUUGUGUCUCCACCAAGCUCCACAACCCUGGAGGAGAAGGACGUGGGAUGGAGUCAUGGCUGUGUCUGCAGUAGCCUGCAGAAAGGAGCAAAUCAGGCCAAGAGCCUUGACAAAGCUCUAGUUGUGACCCUUGGAAGCUCUCUGCCCCUGUGACACAGACCACGAUGCAGACUCCUCGCUCGUCCUACGGUGAAAUCACGAGCGCUCCGAGGUGUCCACGCAACUCCGCUGGUCGUGCAGGGCUCCUUGUGUCCCCAUCUGCCCCCGCUUCCUUGUUGACUUUCCUCAUCAUUUGAAAAUGUCUUGACUCCUCCUGAGAACUCAAACCCUCUCUUUAGGAACGAUUCUGCUGAAUCUAAACAUGCCGAAUGUUUUCUGGCACACCACAGUUAAAGACCAUAUUUGUUUGAACGCAGGGUCUUUGUUCUCAAAAGUAACCUUCGUUGUAAAGAAGAGAAGGCACACGUGUUUCAGAAUGACUUCUGUGUCGUGUGUAGCUUUAUGAAUUCCGUGAAGUAUCGAGCAACUGUGUAAAAAUGCCUACACAGAUCAAAGAAACACCUGCAUAAAAUGUUCUUUGGGGAAUGGGGUGUUUUAAUCCAAGUCACAGCUGGAAUCCAUCUUUCUGUGAAGAGAAUCUUCUCGAUUGAAACAAAGCCAGCUUAAGCCUAUUUCAGCCCCCUUGACUCUGGGACAGUAUUCAUCUUAAACUUUAGUUCUAUAGAUUACUAAGUACUUCAGUGUUUGUUUUAGUGGUAGUGAACGCUUCCCCCCCACCCCCUUUAGAUCUCUACCUUAGGCCAAAUUCAGUUUAGGAAAAAAAAAAAGUUUCAACUAUUCUGUAUUGUAAUAGUACGUUUCUGUUGAGUUCGUAGUGGUCUCCCCACCAACCACAUAUAACUCGGUUGAUUUCCUCAGUCUAUAGAGCCCUGGUAAAUUUGUGGAGGUGAGUUUCUACUUUAUCUGUGACUACACAAUGCCAGCUUCCAGAGUUGUGUGUGUGACUUGCAAGAGGCAAGUCUGCUGAAGAACCCCUUCUUCCACCAGGGGAAGGUCAAGAAGGGAAAAGCUAUUCACGCACCUUGUGUCUUAGUCUUUAUGUCACAUGCUUUAGAAGCAGAAACUCAAUAAAGUAACCCUCCCCUUCAGCCAAGUUAUCAGGUUUCUCUGCUGAUAGAACUGUAGGCACUGUCUUCUACCCAAAGUUCAGAUUGGGCGUGAGGAUGACCAGGAUAUUGUGGCCAGAGAAGUUUUCAGCUUAGAGAAGCAAAGGCAGAUACACCAAAUUCCACUCUGUACUGAGCCUUAGGCUAGGAGUUAAUGUGUCAUUGGUAUAGAGAUAGUUUUCUCCCCAAAUAUCUUGUGAUUGAGAAGCCAUCCUUGUCAGGCUGUACUGAGCUGGGUCUUCUUUUGAGAGUGAGACAAAAACCCAAAGUCACGACAAGACUCAGAGCAGGCCAUAAACUUCAUUCUGUCUCUUGACUCUAGACUGACCUUAUCAAGAUAAGAUGGCCAUCUCGAUCACUGAGCAGAGGCUGUGGGUCCUGCAACUAGGAAGGGGACAGUGGAGUUUCCUGGGUCAUGAGCAGCCCAGAAAUGAGUGUGAGAGGGUCUUUCCGGAAGUGAUUUCAAAACGCAUAUCCAGCUGCCAUCUUCAUACCCCUGGACACAUGAGGAUGACCACUUAACUCUUGGAGGAGGGAGGGUGAUCAGUGGAAUAGUUACUGCUCUCAGACAUCCCUUCUAUGUCCAAGCAGCUAACUCACACAAGUGAACCUCCCAGUGGUUUUGGGAAAUCAUUUCCUGAGCAGAUUAUAGUCAGCCCCACACUACCUACCCAACUGUUCCCGCUCCCACUGCAGCAGUCUUGGUAAAUUUCUACGGACUGGGAAGCCCACCCCAGGGAGGCUCUUGGCUCCAGGAGCCCCACCCCCCAGUGUCUUCUGGGGGGACUAGUCCUCAACCCAAAGCAUGAAUGAACCUGAAUGUCUGUAAACGUCAUUAUCUAGCCCAAUACUUCUUCCUCGCAGAUGAGAGUAAAAUGAAUUACAAGUUUCAGAAUAAAAUGAAAUACAAAGUCGAGUCAUUUGUUAGCUUCUCUGCCACAAGAAGCCUUUUUCUUGGGUUGGUGUUUUGAGCUUUGCUGAAGUCAUGAUAACCAAGGCCUUUUGCAUAUUGAUGUUUUUAAAAAAAAAUGCCAAGUUCUCUUCUUUAUUCAGCAGUUUUCUGGGCUGAAAGAUGCCCUCCCUUCCUUCGCAUACUCAGGAUAUUAAUUAAUUGCAACAUCAUUUAAAUAAUUAUGUUGUUAAUUACCGCUUCAUGUCUCCCGCCCUGUCACAGCCUGGAGUUUUUCUUCAAUUAAAUCUCUGUGUCUUGCCCAUUUCUCUUGUCAUCGUAUGUUCCUGAGGCUCAGCCGUCCGCAUACACAUAGGACACUGCACAGCUUUUGUCUUUAAGCGUUGUUUCCCAUAGAUAACCAGUUGCCUUCCAUCAGAGCUACCGUGGAAGGCUUGUUUAUUUUUUGUGCUGCCCAGAAAAUACCCUCAU
This is an RNA transcript of Lutra lutra (Eurasian river otter), 4614 nucleotides long. It is a transcript of the gene named synaptotagmin 6, with no coding region annotated. The transcript has 8 exons. Lineage: Eukaryota; Metazoa; Chordata; Mammalia; Carnivora; Mustelidae. The record is from RefSeq and is a predicted model, not a curated record.